RNAcentral lists this small RNA (612 nucleotides) under Pan troglodytes (chimpanzee). RNAcentral describes it as "processed transcript". Lineage: Eukaryota; Metazoa; Chordata; Mammalia; Primates; Hominidae. The record is from RNAcentral.
AACCGGCCCUCGCCUCAGCCCCGUCCCAGCAUACUCUCCGGGUCCUCGCUGGCGGUGGGCGGGCCAGGGAGGACAAGCACUGGAGCCCACACCAGUUAUCCUAUUGAAAGAGGGGACUGAUAGCUCCCAAGGCAUCCCCCAGCUUGUGAGUAACAUCAGUGCCUGCCAGGUGAUUGCUGAGGCUGUAAGAACUACCCUGGGUCCCCGUGGCAUGGACAAGCUUAUUGUAGAUGGCAGAGGCAAAGCAACAAUUUCUAAUGAUGGGGCCACAAUUCUGAAACUUCUUGAUGUUGUCCAUCCUGCAGCAAAGACUUUGGUAGACAUUGCCAAAUCCCAAGAUGCUGAGGUGGGUGAUGGCACCACCUCAGUGACCUUGCUGGCUGCAGAGUUUCUGAAGCAGGUGAAACCCUAUGUGGAGGAAGGUUUACACCCCCAGAUCAUCAUUCGAGCUUUCCGCACAGCCACCCAGCUGGCAGUUAACAAGAUCAAAGAGAUUGCUGUGACCGUGAAGAAGGCAGAUAAAGUGGAGCAGAGGAAGCUGCUGGAAAAGUGUGCCAUGACCGCUCUGAGCUCCAAGCUGAUCUCCCAGCAGAAAGCUUUCUUUGCUAAGAU